UUGAAUCCCAUCUCCUCUCUGAUUCUCUCUAAGACUAAAACCUAACCCUAGUCGCCUCCCUCCGAUUACCACUCAGAACCGCAUGAAUCCAUGGCUUCCAAAGCCAUUGAAGGCAUGUACCUGCCUCAUAUAGCUCCUGCAUGCUCGUCAUUUGAAGGAUCGUGGCCAAACCUCGAGGGUCUUCACUUAGACCUUCAUCUAUUUGAAGAUUCUGGCCAUCUCCGGCCUUUGCUGCGGGGGCUCUUGGUCUUUUGAGCCUGAUUGUGAUAUCCUCUGGCUUAGAUCGUGACUUUUCCAGGCUUUCUCGCUUCUAGGGUUCUUCUGAGACCCUAGCCCUUCAAGGUUC
Molecule: long non-coding RNA, 346 nt
Filed under: Nicotiana benthamiana
Lineage: Eukaryota; Viridiplantae; Streptophyta; Magnoliopsida; Solanales; Solanaceae
Description: long non-coding RNA (NBEN_LNC019269)
Source: RNAcentral